GCCUGAAAUUCUUAGUAGGUACUCUGUUCUGCUCAAGGUUCACAAGGGCCGAGGAAGAUUCCAUCAAGCUAAUCACAGUCAUUCUCCUCUCAGUUCGGGCUGAGCCUCUAUCCCAAAGCCUAGAACCACUGGACAUUAUAAAAUACAGCCACAAUGAAAUAAACUAUGUAUAGUUAGUGCUGAUGCAGGCAGAGGCAGAUACAUACCCUGAGACAGAUAGGGCCUAUGGUCACAAGAGUACCUGGCUGUGGUCCAAGUGGCUCAGCUUUUCUGUUAAGACUGUGCAGCUAUGGUUUUUGCCUCUGAAAAACAACCCAGACAUAUUCAAACACAUGCUUACGGCACAGUGAGGGACAGCAUUUGCAGACCCAGAUAUUUCUUAUUUGAAAACGCCUUUCCUGGAAAGGAAAGUUAUGAUGUGUUACAACAAAACCUCUUUCCUGUUAGCGCAGCUUAAAAGACACCCAUGUCCCAGGAUCUCUUUGCCAUCACAGCUGUCCUUUCAGGUUACCUGGAUGAAACACAGGCUUCAGAGAACCUUUGUCAUUAGCACUUACACUCCUCCCACCCACCUCCCACCUCCAGCCCCUGGGUUUCAUUUCCACAUUAGCUCAAUCCAAAUACUUCUGGGUACAACUCAUGCUUGGUUUGUGCCUAGUCCCCCAAUAUUGCUGCUCAAAUCACCAUUAUAGGAGCUGAGUACAAAUGAGUGACCCAGUAGUCUACAGGAUUCAAAUGGCUGUCUCCGGGCCAGGCAUUUCACUUUUCCCUGGCUAUGCGUAAAUUUUCUCCAUGUAUCAGUGGACUUGGCAGGUACAGGGCCCCAGCCAUCUCUUGUGAGCAUGGUUGAGAGUGGGGUCCAGCUCUCCUUUUCCAGGGACACUGCUUCUUCAGAGCUGGUUAGUGUAGCAGCCCAUGGGUUCUCUGCUGCGAAAAGACUGAACCCAAUCCUAAUACUAGAGGCAAAAGUCAGCCUCUUACCACAGUAUCAAGGACCCAGGCAGGAGAGAAUCAAAGGGCUCUGAUUCUGGCUUAGUUUCCACCGCCAACUGGCCUCGUAACAUAGUAACAUAGGACAAAUUAACCCUGCUCUCUGGGUCUGGAUUUCCUUGUAUCCAAAGUGGGGGCUGAGCAAGAUCACAACCAAAAUGCCUACUAAGCUGGAUGUGGUGGCUACACCCGUAAUCCCAGCACGUCGGGAGGCUAAGGUGGCAGAUCGUUUGGGCCCAGGAGUUCGAGACCAGCCUGAGCAAUAUAACAAGACC
This 1265-nucleotide long non-coding RNA is filed under the name Homo sapiens (human). RNAcentral describes it as "HSALNT0135738". Lineage: Eukaryota; Metazoa; Chordata; Mammalia; Primates; Hominidae. The record is from RNAcentral.